UAACUAUAGAGAAUAUUCCCUGUACACCUACAUAUUUGACUUAAUCAUGCUAGUUUCAAGUUUUUCCACAACUGUGACCUCAAGUAGUGGUCCUUCCAAGUUCAGAUUUUACUGCUAGUUGUCCUCUCCAUUUUUAUUUUGGGUUGAUAUUUUUCAGUGGAAAUGUGGAUUGAACAUUAUGGAUGGUGACCAUGCUAGACUUUUGCAGACAGAAGAAAUAAGGGGAUUGGGUGGGGGAGAGGCUAGUGUCAAAAUAUACAUCAUCUCGGAGCAAAUUAGUUAGUGUCUUUACUCCUGGAGGAGAUAGCAGAAAGAAAUCAUCCUUUAAAACCACCUAUAGACACCGGUGAACAAACAGAAAACAAUAGCCGAGACCUUAGAAGAACUUCUUGCUGAAGUUUACAACUUAAAGCCCUCAAGGGUGGGGGCAAAAAGCAAAUUUAUGGGAUUCAGCUGAUGCAGCAAAUUGAUAUCUACUCGUCAACUGCAACGAAAGGGAUUCCCCUGACAAUGUAAAGUAUGUUAUCAUUUUAUGCCUGAACUAAAUUAGGAGAUAAAGAAAGUACAUUAUCAAGCAGAAAAUGAAGUGAACAGAAACAUCAGAUAGCACUGCUGGGAUUGAUGGAAGCAGCUAAGCAGCCAAGACUUGGAGAAAACCAGAAAUCACAAAUUUGUUUUGUGGCUGUUGUGAAGACAACUGAACGUUAAUAUGAUUUUAGGAAGUUCAGUAAACAAGCUUACCAGCCACCGUGCCUUGAAAAAUAGUCAUUAUCUAAAGAAAUGGCAAGAGCAACAGCUACAGCCCUCUCUGAUAAUGUCAAAGGACGGGCAACUUCCAAAUCAUGAGUCUAAAAUAGAAAAAGCAAAACAUCAUAGAGAAGAACAAGUCACCAAAAGAAUAUAGAAUAUCACGUACAAAAGGUAGAAACCAAAGAAAUUUCACUUUCUGAUUGGAAAUUUUACCGCUGCAGCGUGAGCACUCUUGGAACUGGGAUCAGAACUACCAAAUCGUAUCACAUACUGACCAGCAUCAGUAAAGAUCUGCACGUAUUUGGGAACCCAAAAGAGAAUUAUAAAAAUUGCCUUUCCAUCUUGCAAUUGAUGCAAUUACAAUGUUCACCAGCCUUGUCCCCCUGUUUUAACACAACUCUUUGGUGAUAACAAUAUCUGUUCUAAUCCAGAAAGGCAGACCUCUAAUUUCUCCUUCCCUAACCAAAUAUGACUCUCAUUUAUUUAUUUAGUCACAAUUCAGUUCUCCAGGGUCCUGCAUGUUGAGGAACCACAAAAAUCAAUUUGACACAAGGUGGCUGAACUCUACAUUGGUUACAGUAUAGAAGGCAAGGUCCCACAAAGGAAUAGCUAAGCAGUAGCAUUAUGAAAGAUUAAGACCUUUGCUUGGCACAAUAAUAAAUAAGGCAAAGUACAAAAAAGUAUCAUGUGAUUUAACACAUUUUCAAGUUUGGGCAUGUGUUUUGUUUCUUGACAAUCAUGUGCCUUAUAUUUUGCCCCAUCAAUUAAAAAGGUAUAAAACUCAAACGCUGUCAGCUCAAAUUAGACGGUGUUAAGGGAUUUCUCCUUUUUGCUAAUGGAGCAAAAUAUAGGGCACGUGUUUAUCAAGAAAUAAAACACAGGCCCAAACUAAAAUACACUAAACAACAACGUUUUUUUUUGUACUUUGCCCUAGUUAAUAUCCAAUGAUAAGUCCUAUCAUUACCAUCUCAACUGGAUAUCAGUUCUGAAAAUUGACUCCUUAUAUCUAUGAAUUGUACAACCCAAUUAAUCAAAUUCCUUUUACCAUCAUUUUUUGUUGCUUCUGUCUUCAAUUAAUAUCUCAGACAACUUUCACAAACAGAGCAAGCUUGAAGAAUCAAAACAAUGAUAACAAACAAAACAGAAUAACUUUUAAUGUCCAGUGACGUCUAAAACCAAGUGAAAUGCAGGCCAAUAAUUCUUAGAAGCAGGUAUUUUACCACAAACAUUUCUAAGUUAUACAAGUCAGGAAUGAACAAAAAAUGCACAAGAAUCAAUUAUUGAUACUAUGUCACAAAGAAAAGAGACAACCUCAAAUCCAAAACCCCUCCAAUCCCGAUCUAUUUGAGCCACAACUUCCCCAUUAAUAUCCUUCAACGUAAAUGUCCAAUUCCAAAGUCCAGGAUUUUCAACCACAGCAAAUUGAUUAUUUCCAAGGUACAAAUCAUAUAUUCUCCUCCAAAGAUGCCAUCGUCUAUGAACCACACCAACUUCUUUACCAUUAAUCUCUGCAUAAAUUGAGCUGGUUAUCCACCAAAAUGGCCUCCGAACCCUAAACAGCUCAUUACCCAUAGCAUCAGUUAUGUAAGCAACAAAAGGGCGCCUCAGACGAAGCAACUGCCUAGCAAUUACAUUACUCUGCUCACGAAUAAAACCCACAGGAGACUGCGGGUAGCACACAUCUACUACUGCAUAACGGUUUUCCUGCUCAAAACCAAGUACUAGAUUCGCCCACUCUAUAUCCCUAGUAAUCAGCAAGUUUGACCUGGCAAGAAGAGGUGCAACCAAGGCUUCCUCUGGAGAAGCUGGCUUCAGAAGACCAGAGACGGAUUGGCUAGGAGGAGUUUGCUUCAGAACUCUUUUUCCAUGGUCGUAAGAUCUUUCUUCUGUCGAAGUUCCACCCGAAAACAGUCUUCCAAUUGAAUGUAAGAAGGAUCGAUACUGAUUAUAUGCUACAUUACCAUAAUUGUCAUACUUAGCCAUCUCAUUACCAUAAUUGUCAUACUUUGCCAUCUUUCUUCUUCUUUUCUUUCUAGAUUUUUCCAUUUUCCUAUCUGCAAUCCAAAGCUGAACAAGGAAAUCUCUACUCAAAUGAGGAUCAUUCUCCACAUCAUGUGCAAAUCCACGAGAGGCACUCAUUCUGCCCUUUUUCAACCCAACGGAACUUCUCUCAAAAGAAGGAGAAAGCCCAUAUUUGGAUAACACAUUUCUUGCUAAAAUCAGCCUUUGCUGAGGGUCAACAUCUGCAGCCCACAAAUCAUUCUUUUCUGCCGGCAACCAUCCUCUCUGAGGCUGCAAGCAAUAGAUACUUCGAGCCCUUUCAAUGCUAGGGAUACCAUAUUGAUGAUGCUUACUAAACAACGACACCCCAAGAUCAGAGACUGUGAUUUUGUUACACUUGGCAAAGAAACGAUAACGCUUUAUCCAACUCAUCUAAAACCAAUCGUGGCAAUGCUGCUUCUUUCUCUGAGCUCUGUGUACUGUGCUCUUCUUCCUCUCUCGGCUUCUCG
RNAcentral lists this unclassified non-coding RNA (3260 nucleotides) under Hevea brasiliensis (rubber tree). The record is from RNAcentral. Lineage: Eukaryota; Viridiplantae; Streptophyta; Magnoliopsida; Malpighiales; Euphorbiaceae.